UUCUUACAAAAGAAUGAUGGAGCAGGUGAGAGGGAGAAGUCGGCGAGGGGACAUCACCACGGGUUAUUCUCUUCAAAUGUUUGUUGCUAUUAGGCUAUUAUACGACCCUAUGUCCUUUUUUCUUUCAUCUUUCAACUUCUUUCCUUAUACAAUUUUCUGCUUUUUCACCUGGAAUGCACUUGGAUUAUUAUUAGAUAGAU
Molecule: long non-coding RNA, 200 nt
Filed under: Carica papaya (papaya)
Lineage: Eukaryota; Viridiplantae; Streptophyta; Magnoliopsida; Brassicales; Caricaceae
Description: long non-coding RNA (CPAP_LNC010624)
Source: RNAcentral